GCGCCUCUCCCUCCACACCUCCCCGCAAGCUGAGGGAGCCGGCUCCGGCCUUGGCCAGCCCAGAAAGGGGCUACCACAGUGCAGUGGCGGGCUGAAGGGCUCCUGAAGUGCCGCCAAAGUGGGAGCCCAGGCAAAGGAGGCGCCAAGAGCGAGCGAGGGCUGUGAGGACUGCUAGCACGCUGUCACCUCUCAAUAUGGUCCAACCAAGGUCAACUAGUUGAUUGCAGCCCGAUUUCACAGCCAGCCCCACCUCACACGGGGAGUGCCCCUCCGACUCACUUGCCUCAGUUCUGGAGAAGACGCACAGAUUCCAAGAGCAAUUGGAAUUUAUACUUCUUCAUCCUCCUUUGACGUUCUAUUUGGGCCGAUUCCUUUCGUCUAGGGUCAGGAAGCUCAUCCAUCAGGACUCACACAGUUUGUAAGGAGACGUUGGGUUCAUUUCCAUUUUUAGGGUGUACAUUGCAAAGCCCACUAUGACUGAAGAUCUUACUGGACACCACAUAGCAACUGCUGCCGCACAGUCAGGAAUGUGCCUUUUUCCCAAGGCCAAAACGUUGUGACCUCUCAUCAUGCACAAAUUAUAGCUGACCUGAUAUUGGGUAUGUCUGAGGUGUACAGAGUCUCUAAUUCUAUUCAGAACAUAGCACCUGUCAGCAAUCAACAGAAUCAAAUGGUCCUGGGGUGAAUGUUCACUUCCUCCUUUUUUUUUCCUUUGCCAAAACAUAACUAUGGGUUGAGGGGACGCAUCACAGAUGAGAAACAAUGAGCCUGGUCUUCCCAGUGUAAACCCAAGCAAGGGCUGGCACAGUGGGUCAGUCCCCCGAGGCAAAGCCAGUAGAAACCAGACUGUUGACAACUGCCUUACAACACUUUGUGCAAUCCCAUGAAGAGAAGAGUAACAUAAACUAAAUGCCUGGACAGUUUUUCUUUGUAAAAUUUCAACAGGAAAACUCAACUUGUAGGUUUUCUAGAGACAUACCUAUACUCUAUAUUGAAUGGUAUAUUUUAGCUUACAGGGGAGGCUUCCGGUUGAUAACAACCAUUUUCAUUUGUUGCAGGAUCUGAAAUACAACCAUGUGAAAAAAUUCCUAUAAGGUUUUACAUAUUACCCAGCACAGAGCAAGAGCCAGAUAAAUGGUAGCAAAAUUGCCAUCAUGUAAUCUUGUGAAAAACAUUGAUUCUUCAUAUCUGCAACUUUAAUUAGAGUUUUGAAUUAAGUGAAAAUUCUGAAAGCACUAGAAAGUCAAAUUUAGAAUGCUCCUUUCAGCAGCAGAAAUGGGGUAAAUAAGAACAGGGACACUAGGGGAACCACCUUAUUACAAGCCAUUUCAAUUUGACAUUUUGCUGUAUUUGAAGAAUGUUUGUGGGCAUUGACACCUACACAUUAGAUAUUUGAUGUGCAACUGGUGCCCUCUAGUGACAGGGUGAACAGUCUUCAGUCACUAAAGCUAAAGAAAUCCAAUCUUCCUAACUUAACCAACCCCAGAUUUACGAGAAGGGAAGAGAAAGGGGAGAAGGUAGGAGGCCAGAAGGUGUCUGUCUCACUGUAAUUCAGAAGGCAAAUCUAAGCAGGCAUCCUUUGGUCUCUAAGAUAAGGGUUCUCAAAUGCUUUUGAAGUUUCACUUUUCUUUUGGAGAAAGGACACUUUCUACCUUGUAUCUCUCAGAACUUCCCUAGAAUGGGAGCUGAGUUUUUAAAGGCCACCUCAGGUAAUACAGCUAUACUCCAAAAUUCACACAAUUCCUCUGCCCUCUGGAAAACCAUGGAAUAAUGAGGCAGUGGAUUUUGGUUCCAUGGGGAAUCCUGGAACCCAUCUCCCACAAAUACUAAGGGAUGACUGUAAACAUAUGUAUACAGUGUGGCAGAUACAAUAUGAUAGAUUCCUGCAGGAACCAUGGAAACACAAUCCAGUUCAUUUCUCUGAUCUCACAUUGAAUGUAUCUCUCCUUUCCACCAUGAUUUCAUGCACAUUUUCACUGGCAUAUGGCAUAAACUGAUUUUUUUUAACUAAUGGAAGCCUAUUCAGGGAUCAAUUAUUACCUCAUGGAAAUAUUUGUCAACCAUUCCUUACUUUCCUACUUAGAAGCAGGGGGAAAGUGUGUUUUUAACUACUAGGUAAUUUAAUCAUUUUUUCCCCUCUCACCUCCUAUAUAUCUACUGGGGCCAAGUCAGCUGAAAAAAUAAAAUCAUAUAAGCAAACUGCCACUUCAUCAUCUUGUCUCAGAAACUCCUGCUGGCAGCAUACAUUUUAUAUACCCCAAAUGGGGUGUUCUGAAACAGACAGGCGAAUUCCAGCUUCCCCUAAUUUACUGCCCUCCUUUCCAUAGCAUCAGAUUCAUAAAACAUUGCCUGGGUGGCUGGCUGGCUGUCUCACUGUCUUGAGGCUGAAGCAAGGCACAGGGGACCAGGAAGGAGACAUUAGUUGCCAAGUCUCUGCUGACAAGAAUACUUGCCUCCGCCCUUUUAGAGCAUUUAACAUAAGCAAAAGAAACAGGGGAAAAAGACUUGGCUUGCCAGCAAACCAUUACACAAAUCUAAAGAUGUGGUAUUAAGUUUUGUUCCUGUAAGUGUUCUUUCCAUGACUAGCCCUAUUAAUUGGUGCUUCAGCUUCAAAACUAUUUCAGUUUUUAUGUCACAGAAGAGACUUGAGAAUCCAAUUAGCUACGUUUAUUAGAAACACUUGAACAUUUUUCUACACAUUGUUUUCAUGUUAAAUAACAUAGUGAUAAGGGGAAAAGUUAGAGGAAGUUUGAAGCGAUUGCAUUAGGCUUUAAUUUUCCACCAAGUGUUUGCAUGUAUCCUGGACAAACCAACUCUGCAAAUGCAAAAGGAAACUGGUUUUUUCACUCUUUGGGAGAAAGCACAAAUGAAACAGCCCAAUUAUAGGGAAAUAACAAAGAACGGUGGGUAACCUACUUGACAGACAACUUAAUUUAACUCUAUUUUCAAUAUCUAGAAUACACAUUAAGUAGCCUCCCAUUCAAUCCCAGCCCUUGAGGCCAUGCCACCUACAACCAUCAAAAUGCUCAUAUGUUAAAGCUCCCUGGGGACUUAACGGGUAUUAAUAGGUUUAUACAGUCUGUUAUUUUCCUAAGGUCACAACUGGGAGCCCAAAGUGAAUCCCAACCCCCUGUCCUAUCUUCUUUGGUCAGGGUUUUAAGAAUUGGGCAAUUUUACCUAAAAACCCAGAUAUCUGAAUUCUCUGGGGAAAAAUCAAGUGAUCUGGCCAUACCCAAGUCCUCCAUCCCACAUGGCAACAGUUGGCUGAAACGGAGCAUGCCUGUCCCCUGUAGAUGGGAUAUGCCUAUUUAGAGAAGUCCGUGUCUUCCUGCUCACUCACUUCUAUUGCUUGCCUGACCCCUACAGGCCUUUGACUUUUCCACGGUGGUUUACAAAGGGCUUCUAUGUAUGGUGGUAAUUAGUUUCUAAUGGUUAUAAGAUAAAUAGCAAGUUCAGUCUGCUCUGCUACAGCUCAUGUUUCUGUAACAAUUAGCUUAAAUAAAAUUGGUAAAUGAGUGAAUGUUGUUUGUAUAACCUAGAAGUCUUUUUGGUUCGUGUAACUAAGUAGCAGCACCUAAAUGCAAAAUCACAAACACUCAAUGGCCAUCAGCCCAUGUUCUUCUUUCUGGCUUAUAUGAGCCUCCAGUUUUGUCUGGAAGUGCUCAUUGCACAGUUCUCCCUGAUCCUUCUGUAUUUUGCUCUUUCUGCAUAGCUCAGCAUGCUCAGUCCUUUGUCACUGCCUUCCCUGUCCAUCAGUCUACCUUCACCUUUUUUUGUUCAUUAAGGCAAAGGCCUCUUAUUUUGGUGUAUUUAUUAGAAACAUAAAAUGUAAAAUUUGUGCUAAUAUUCUAAUUGAGGUCAUUACCAGUUUUGUUAGUGCCUGGUUUCAAAGUUAUAUACGUUUUUAUUGAUCUGUCCCUAAUCCCAUCUUUUCCCAAAACUUCUGUUACCUCUAGCACAAAAUUCUACCGGAAGCAGGGGUUUUCAGAAAUAUGUCUGUCAAAUUAUAAUAUGUUCGAAAGUACUACUGAAAAACUAAGACCUUCACUCCAUAAGAAGGACCUGGAGUAGAGGUUGGCAUGUCUCAUGGUAAGCCCAAAAGUUAAUUCUCCAGCAUUAAAACAGGCAAUUGUAAGCAGCUGGCUAGCAUUUAGGGGCUACGUUUCAUGAAAAAUCGGUUUUUAAACAUCACAAGCAUACUCAGUGUGGGGAGAUGUUCAUAAUAAAUAGACUCACAGGAACUAAGUAUAUAUAUAUUGCUUCAUUUAUUUCUAACAACAUUCUUGUGCCUGUGGUAUCAACACUUCUGUUUUACUGAUGAAGAAUCUGAGGCUGAAAGGGAUGAAACACUUGCUUGGAAUUUCAUUCCUGUGUGGUGAGCACAAGUUUCAAAUCCAAGGUUUCUAAACCUCUAGCUCUUCCAUCCUUCAGUAGUUUCCUGUCAGAAGUGGAGCAGGUCUAUUGGGCUCUCUUCUUAGAUCAAUUUCAACCCCUUUCUACAAUAUUAUGCGAUUCAAAGUCCUUUAAAGUCAGACUUACAUGUGGUAUUUUUUAAGUGUUUUUAUUUAAAAAAUUAAAACAUUUAUUAACACUUACACUGCAUAGUACACGAAGAAUAUGGCCUAUGGGGUCAAACAGACUUGAGUUCCUUUAUUUAAAAAUAUUAAUUUUUAAUUUAUUAAUAUUUAUCAUUGUGCGAGGCAUUGAGGUGUAGUGGUAGACAUGACCACAUGGUGCUGGUGCUCAGCGGGCUUAUAUUCUAGUGGUACAAUCUUUUGUUAAAUGUGUGAAACAAAAAUACUAUUACCUAUUUUAAAGGACUACAAAAACAAAUUUGGAACUACAUAUGUGGUAAGGCGUCACACAUAGAAACCAUUUGACUGUUAGCAGUUGUUAUUGAAUUGAUACAAUAAUACUAAUUACACAGAAGCAGAAGAGGCAAGGAGAUUUUAGGAUAAGUAGCUGCUCCAGCACAAAAGCCACCAUUAGCAGUCAACAAUUAUUCAUGCACCUGUGACUCCCUCGUCCCCAGUGAAAGCCUCAGAGCUGUGCAGGUAUACAGGCUGAGGUGUGACCUGGCUGUAUAUAAAAGCUAAUUCCUCUACAGUCCCACUUGUUCUGACACAUUACAUUGUAAAUGAACUUACUUGGAAUGUAACAGAUUUCUACAAAUAACUAUUCAUUUCAAAAGUUCUGUUAAAUCAUAAACCCUAUACCUCCCGCUCCCCCAGCCCCUGGUAUGCUUAAAGGCCCAACAGCCACCCUUUAAAAAACUAAGAAAGUUUCACUUCUAGCAAGGACCAACUAGGUUUUUUUGAUCCAACUGUCCCACCAGAAACAAAUGAAAAAGCCAGAUCAAUAUCAUAUAAAAAAGUCUGUUUAAAAUCAUCAAAAAGCUACCAAAUAAAUGAGAAUUUGUGGGACCAAUGUCCAGGAGGAGAGAGACAAUGAAGGGCGUAAGCCUGGCACCAUUUUGCCCCCUAGGAAUAUUGUGAGAUAUGAAAACAGUGGCUGAGAUGGUAAGGAAUUGAGAAUAGAUUUUGACAGAUUCAUAGGACUAUGGAGAUAGAAACUAGAGUGCAGGGCCUGCCCCAGGUUUCAGGGUUUCAGGUACAAACCAAGAGUAAGAGUACACCAAAAACAGAGUAGUCCAGUCCUCAAAAAGACUAAAAACACCUUAAAUUAUUUUGAUGUCUAAUGAGAUUAAACUGAUAUACCCCUAACCUAGUUGAUUGCCAGAGGCAAAAACGCAUGCUCACUGAAGAAAGAUAAUGUCAGAGCCUCAAAUUACCUCAACAGCUGGUCAUAUACAGUGUCUGGCCCUCAAUAAAAAAUAACCAGUCCAGCCUGGGCAACAUAGGGAGACCCUGUCUCUACAAAAACAUUUAAAAAAAUUAGCUGGCAUGGUAGUAUGCAUCUGGAGUCCUAGCUACUCAGGAGGCUGAGGCGGGAGGAUCGCUUGGGCCCAGGAGUUUUAGGCUGCAGUGAGCUACGAUUGUGCCACUGCAUUCUAGCCUGGGUGGGCAAUAGAGUGAGAUCCUGUCUCUAAAAACGAACAAGAAACCCCAAAAUCCUCAGCCAUUACCAUUACAGGAAGACAAGUUUUUGCCAGAAACCAAGAGAUGAGAACAAGUAAUAGAAACUGGGCCACAGGAGAUUCAGAAGAUACAGUUAUCAAACAUGGGCUUUACAAUAACUAGAAUUAAUAUUUUCAAGGAAUUAAGAAACAAAAAUGGAGAAUUUCAUCAAAGUGUGGAAACUAUUAAAAAAUCCAAUGGAAAUAAAUUCUAGAACUGAAAAAUAGACCAAGAACUCAACAGAUGAGUUUAAUAGGAAAGUAGACACAGGUGAAGCAAGAACUUGUGAAGCAGAGGAGAAACCGAAAGAAAAUAGACUGAAGUUCAGAAUCAAAAGGAUCGAAACAGAAAAGAGGCAUAUGGGAAAAGGGAAAAUGUCUAGCAUAUGUAUAAUUACAGUCUCAAAAGAGAGGUGAUACAGAAUUUGGCAGUUGAACAUUCUAAUCAUGUCACAGCACUACUGAUGAAAUCCAAAGGCAUAGACAGAAAACCUGAAAAGCAGGAGAGAAAAAGGGUGUAUCACCUUCAAAGCAACAGUAAGACUGAUCAUUGGUUCAUGAAGAGAAACAACAGAAGACAGAUAUUGAUAGGUGGCCAGGCGCGGUGGCUCGCGCCUGUAAUCUCAGAACUUUGGGAGGCCAAGGCGGGCAGAUCACUUGAGGUCAGGAGUUCAAGAUCAGCUUGGCCAACAUGGUGAAACCCCGUCUCUACUAAAAAUACAAAAAAUUAGCCAGGCGUGGUGGCGGGCACCUGUAAUUCCAGCUACUUGGGAGGCUGAGGCAGUAGAAUCACCGGAAACUGGGGGGUGGAAGUUGCAGUGAGCUGAGAUCCCACCACUGCACUCCACCCUGGGCAACAAGAGCAAAACUCCAUCUCAAAAACAAAAACAGAUAUUGAUAGGCUAUAAUGAACUAGAAUUCUAUAUCCAGUGAAAAUAUCAUUCAAAAAUUAGUAUGAAAUAAAAACAUUUUCAAACAAAACAAGAAAGCGAGGAUGUUCAUCACCAUAAGAUCUACAGUAAAGGACAUUAUAAAGAGGUUUUCUUCAGGGUAAAGGGAAAGUAAUCACAGAAGGAAGCUGAGAAAUACAGGAGGGAAUAGAGAGCAAUGGGAAGGGUAAAAUGUAGGGAAAUAUAAAUCAACGUUGACUCUAAACAAAACCAAUAAUGUCUACUGAGACCUUUAAAUACAUUUAGAAUUGUUUAGAGAAGGGUGAGGAGGAAACACACUGGUAGAAGAUUGUCAACUCAGUUAAAGUGCCCAAUAAAUCUAAGGAUGGUCCUUUCAAUAAAUGACGUCAAGACAAUAGGAUAUCCACUUUGGAGGGGAACACUUUUAAUUUAACCCUUAUUUCACACCACUCACAGGCAUACAAAAUAACUCCAGGAGACUUUCCCAUCUCACCUGUGAAAACUAAAACACAAUAAAAAUUUUUAUAAGUCAACAUAGAAUGUCUUUAAGAACUUGGGGUAAGAAAAGGUGUUUUUAAAACAGGACAAAUUGCACUAACCAUAAAAAAAAAGAGCGAUACCACCUGUAUGUUAUGAUUUUAAACUUUUGCUCACUGAAAGAUACCACUACAGAAAUAAAAAGUGGAGAUAUCUGCAACUCAUAGUACCUAGAGUAUACAAAGAACUUCUAAAAAUCAGUUAAGAAAUAGAGAAAACUCAAGGGAAAAAUGGGCAGGAAACUUGAUGCCUCACAAAGGACAUUCAAAUGGCAAAUGCAUGAAAAGUUGCUCAACUUUCUCCUUAAUGUCAGAGAAAAGCAAAUUAAAACUACAAUAUAAUUAAUUUUAAGAGACUUUGAGUCUUUUGACAAGGGUGUACAGCAAAUAGAAAUAACAUCAUAGUAAUGAUGGGAGUGGUAAAUUUAGGCAUAGUUGGAAAAUAUUUUGGCCAUACCUACUAAAAUUGACAUAUGCAUACUUUAUGCCCCAGCAAUUCAUCUUAUCUAUAUUUCCAACACAAAUGUCACAUAUGUGGAUCAAAAGAAUUGUACAAGAUAACCAGGGCUGUAUUCAUUACAACCAAAAAAACUGGAAACAACCCAAUUGUUCAGCAACAAAAAUACAUUGUGGUAUAUUCAGACAACAGAACACUAUAACUUGCAUAACACUAUGCAAGACAAACAAGCAAAUACUGCUAUAUACAACACAAAUGAUUUUUGCAAACGUAAUGUUGAAGAAAAGAAGUCAGGGGUAAAAGAAUAUAUCUUAGGAUUCCGUUUAUAUUGAAUUCAACAACCAGCAAGACUCUCUGUUAGAAUUUAAGGUAUUGGUUAUCUUAGCAGGGAAGAUUUCAGGAGGCCUAAUGGUGCUCUGGGAGCCUGGUCUAUUUUUUUUUUUUUUUUUAUCAGAGCAGUGGUUACCUUUUUUUAUCAGAGCAGUGGUUACCUGAGUGUAUCCAUGUUGUGGUAAUUCAUUUGUGAUUUAUGUAGUUUCCUACAUGUACAUGUCAAUAACAAAAGUAAUUUUUAAAUAUUUUAAAAGGCACGUGGUCAGUACCUUGCCUGAAGACUAGUUUAACAGGAAAUUUUCUUCAAAUACCUUCCUGAUGUCACUAGAGAACAUUUGUGGCUUUUAUCCUAAAAAUGACACUCAAACCUAGUUAAUGGUUUCUCAAAUUGGGGAGGCUAUCCAAAUGUCAAGAACAUAGUUUCAUACCAGCAGGAAAGCCCAAAACAGCCCUUUCAAACUCAAAAGAAAAAUAUGGAGUAAAAAUUGUUUUCACUAAACGUAAUAGUGUAAGAUUAAAAGUAUACUAAGGAAAAGUCGUCAUGCCAUUAUUUGAAUUCACUUACAUUCAACAAAUAUUUAUAGGAUUAUGUACCUAUAACUUCCUGAAGUAAAUAUUCAGGAUGGUGGGGAAGAGACUGGUUCAGCAAGUCACAUACUGUUUGAAUUCUCUGUGAUUCAUCUGUUUUGUGAUACUGGGCAAGCAGUUUAAUCUAAGUUUCAGUUACCUUACCUAUAAAAAUAGGAGUAAUAAAAUCUGUGGGCUCAAUAACAUAAUGUUGGUUUUAAGUUUCUACUCCAGUGCCUAAUAGAAACUUAUAUAAAUGUUUGUUCCUCACUCCUUAGAGCUUUAAGAAAAAUUUUUUAAAAAUUUAUUUAAAAAGUGUUACUAUUAUUCUUAAGAAAAUGUGAGCUUUUUCUUAAAAUAAGCUCACUUUAGUAUAAUUUAUAAGAUUUCCUUCCUCUGUAAAUUUUUAAACCUCCUUGAUAUCAUUUUGCCAAUUUUGUUUCUAUUGCCAACAUAUUUUUUUUCCUCCUCCAGUUAAUUCUGAAAUUAAAUACAAAGAAACAGGGCCUUUCCCAGGUCCUGAACUGGUAUUUUUCUGGUCUCUUUAAAACAGUAUUAUUGUCUUCUGACAACCAACCAAGAAACCCCACCCAGCAGCCCCUUCCCCAAUCAAUAUUCUGUUGUUUUAUGGUAUCUCCUCUUCCCCUGCCCCAAAUAUGGUCAAAUCAAGACAAAAAUCUCUUGUCCUGGGAUCAUAAACUCAAAAUACCAAAUAUAGUACAAAAUAAACCAGGAAAAAAAAAAAAAAAUACAGCCACUAUACAAGACAGUUUGGUGGCUUCUUACAAAACUAAGCAUUCUCUUAUCAUACAUCCAGGAAUGCCACUCCUUGGUAUUCACUAACCAAAUGAGCUAAAAAUAGUCCAUACAAACACCUGCACACAGACGUUUAUAGCAGGUUUACUCAAAACUGUCAAAACUUGACACAACCAAGAUGUCCUUCAGUAGGCAAACAGAUAAGUAAUCUGUGGAACAUCCAGAUGAUAGAAUAUUAUUCAGCACUAAAAAGAAAUUACCAAGCCAUGAAAAGACAUGGAAGAAUCUUAAAUAUGUAUUACUAAAUGAAAGAAGCCAAUCUGAAAAGGCUACAUACUGUAUUAUUCAGACUAUAUAACAUUCUGGAAAAGGCAACACUAUAGAGACAGUUAAAAGAUUAGUGGUUGCCAGAGGUUGGGGGGAUAGAAAAACAUGGAGAGUUUUUAGGACAGUGAAAAUCUCCUACAAUAUUAUAAUGAUGGAUACAUGUCAUUAUACAUUUGCCUAAACCCAUAAGAAUGUACAACCCUAAGAGUAACUAAGGUAAACUAUGGGCUAUGGGAGAUGUUAGGUCAAUGCAGGUUCAUUGAUUGUUUAUUAUUCAUUGAUUAUGGACCACUUAUUGUUCAUUGAUUAUGGACCACUCUGGUGGGGAGUGUUGAUAAAGAGAGAAGAAGCUAUGCAUAUGUAGGGGAAGGCGAUAUAUGGGAAAUCUCUGUACUUUCCCUCCUUUUAAUUAAUUCUGCUGUGAACUGAAACUAAGAAAUAAAACUACUCGAAAACCCAA
Molecule: long non-coding RNA, 10423 nt
Organism: Homo sapiens (human)
Lineage: Eukaryota; Metazoa; Chordata; Mammalia; Primates; Hominidae
Exons: 2
Source: RefSeq, a predicted model, not a curated record